This 498-nucleotide ribosomal RNA is filed under the name uncultured bacterium. Its description in RNAcentral is "partial 16S ribosomal RNA". It matches the Rfam family "Bacterial small subunit ribosomal RNA", at positions 30 to 523 of the family's 1533-position model. The record is from RNAcentral.
AUUGAACGCUGGCGGCAUGCCUUACACAUGCAAGUCGAACGGUAACGGGCCUUCGGGUGCCGACGAGUGGCGAACGGGUGAGUAAUGUAUCGGAACGUACCAUUCAGUGGGGGAUAACGUAGCGAAAGUUACGCUAAUACCGCAUAUUCUGUGAGCAGGAAAGCAGGGGAUCGCAAGACCUUGCGCUGAUUGAGCGGCCGAUAUCAGAUUAGCUAGUUGGUGGGGUAAAGGCCUACCAAGGCGACGAUCUGUAGCGGGUCUGAGAGGAUGAUCUGCCACACUGGAACUGAGACACGGUCCAGACUCCUACGGGAGGCAGCAGUGGGGAAUUUUGGACAAUGGGGGCAACCCUGAUCCAGCCAUGCCGCGUGAGUGAAGAAGGCCUUCGGGUUGUAAAGCUCUUUCGGCCGGGAAGAAAUCGCAUGGGCUAAUACCCUGUGUGGAUGACGGUACCGGAAUAAGAAGCACCGGCUAACUACGUGCCAGCAGCCGCGGUAA